Long non-coding RNA from Pantherophis guttatus, 359 nucleotides. RefSeq lists it as uncharacterized. NCBI's taxonomy places the organism in Eukaryota, Metazoa, Chordata, Lepidosauria, Squamata, Colubridae. The record is from RefSeq and is a predicted model, not a curated record.
UCUGAGGAGCCAUCUUUCACCAAUGUGAUUGAUACAUUACCACUCUCUCAUUCUGGCAGAAGAGAUUUACUGUAGACCCCCAGGAAUCGUGGCUGUACACUCUAACCUAUGACACAAGGAAAUCAAUCAAUAAACUUGCACAGCUCUUUGAUCUCCAGGAUUAUGGGAUCUCUCUUCAUGCAAAAGGAAACGUCAGCAUAAGCAAAUAAAAAGACUUCAGCAGCAAGAGAGAGAUUUUGAGACAAAACAGAAAUUCCCCUUAACAUACCACAGUGCUAAAACUACUGUUCCUUUGAGCUUAUGCAUAAGAAGGGCAAUAGGAAGGACGUACAAAUUAAAGAUGUAUUUCUGGCCAUUAA